Molecule: ribosomal RNA, 265 nt
Filed under: Legionella massiliensis
Lineage: Bacteria; Pseudomonadati; Pseudomonadota; Gammaproteobacteria; Legionellales; Legionellaceae
Description: partial 16S ribosomal RNA
Rfam family: Bacterial small subunit ribosomal RNA
Source: RNAcentral
CGUCCGAUUAGCUAGUUGGUAGGGUAAGGGCCUACCAAGGCGACGAUCGGUAGCUGGUCUGAGAGGAUGGCCAGCCACACUGGGACUGAGACACGGCCCAGACUCCUACGGGAGGCAGCAGUGGGGAAUAUUGGACAAUGGGGGGAACCCUGAUCCAGCAAUGCCGCGUGUGUGAAGAAGGCCUGAGGGUUGUAAAGCACUUUCAGUGGGGAGGAGGGUUGAUAGGUUAAGAGCUAAUUAACGGACGUUACCCACAGAAGAAGCA